CGGACGGGUGAGUAACACGUGGAUAACCUACCUAUAAGACUGGGAUAACUUCGGGAAACCGGAGCUAAUACCGGAUAAUAUAUUGAACCGCAUGGUUCAAUAGUGAAAGACGGUUUUGCUGUCACUUAUAGAUGGAUCCGCGCCGCAUUAGCUAGUUGGUAAGGUAACGGCUUACCAAGGCAACGAUGCGUAGCCGACCUGAGAGGGUGAUCGGCCACACUGGGACUGAGACACGGCCCAG
This 241-nucleotide ribosomal RNA is filed under the name uncultured Staphylococcus sp. RNAcentral's name for it is "partial 16S ribosomal RNA". It matches the Rfam family "Bacterial small subunit ribosomal RNA", at positions 99 to 334 of the family's 1533-position model. Lineage: Bacteria; Bacillati; Bacillota; Bacilli; Caryophanales; Staphylococcaceae. The record is from RNAcentral.